UACGGAGGUUGCGAGCGUUGUUCGGAAUCACUGGGCGUAAAGCGCGUGUAGGCGGCCUCUUAAGUCUGGUGUGAAAGCCCGGGGCUCACCCCCGGAAGUGCACUGGAAACUGGGUGGCUGGAGUACCGGAGAGGAGGGUGGAAUUCCUGGUGUAGCGGUGAAAUGCGUAGAUAUCAGGAGGAACACAGGUGGCGAAGGCGGCCCUCUGGACGGAUACUGACGCUGAGACGCGAAAGCGUGGGGAGCAAACAGG
RNAcentral lists this ribosomal RNA (253 nucleotides) under uncultured bacterium. Its description in RNAcentral is "partial 16S ribosomal RNA". It matches the Rfam family "Bacterial small subunit ribosomal RNA", at positions 524 to 776 of the family's 1533-position model. The record is from RNAcentral.